This 434-nucleotide ribosomal RNA is filed under the name uncultured bacterium. Its description in RNAcentral is "partial 16S ribosomal RNA". It matches the Rfam family "Bacterial small subunit ribosomal RNA", at positions 29 to 507 of the family's 1533-position model. The record is from RNAcentral.
AGCGAACGCUGGCGGCAGGCCUAACACAUGCAAGUCGAACGAACCUACCGGGGUUAGUGGCGGACGGGGGUGUCGCGCGUCGGAACGUGCCUUUAGGCACGGAAUACCUCAGUGAAACUGGUGAUAACACAGAAUGUGUCCUUCGGGGGCAAGAUUUAUCGGCCUUAGUUAAGCCCGCGUCUGAUUAGCUAGUUGGGUGUGGUAAUGGCUCACCAAGGCGACGAUCAGUAGCUGGUAUGGGAGGAUGAGCCGCCACAUUGGGACUGAGACACGGCGCAAACUCCUACGGGAGGCAGCAGUGGGUAAUCUUGCGCAAUCGGCGAAAGCCUGACGCACCCCGGCCGCGUGAACGAUGUAGUUCUUAGGAUUGUAAAAUUCUUUCACCGGGGACGAUAAUGACGGUACCCGGAGAAGAAGCCCCGGCUAACUUCGUG